CCCUAUUGCAGCAGAGGAUCAGAGGAAAUGUCUUCCCAGUGGUGUUCUUAUCACAUGAGAGAGAACAAGAGGCCUGCCUGACACCAUCAUUCCUACACUCAGAAGGAAAUGAAAACCCCUCUCUGAAAUCAAAUGAAAACCCCUCUCUGAAAUCAAACUUGUCAUUGGCCUCUGGGUAGAAGUAUUCACGUUCAGCUGAUUCUGCUUGAGAAACUUGCUCAAUAUUCUUAAUAAAAAUGUUCCCAAGACCAUAAAUUGUGUUCUCUGCAGUAAAUAAGAAAGUUCACAUGCAGCAAGUUGUACUUUACCCACUAUCUGCCCAGUGAAGUAUCACAAGAAUGUUCUGAGACAGUUAAUGCCAUGACAUUACUUGGGUCUAAGCCACAGGUGGAUUAACUACUGGAGUAGCAUGAAAACACUCCUUUAAAAAAAAAUCCAGGCAAAGAUGUAACCCUUUACUCAUUUACCUAGGAGGAAAUUUCAUUGUAUUUAAUUCAAUGUCCUUUCCAACAUACAUAUACAGAUUGUAAAUGUAAUGAUAAGUAUCAGCUGUCUGUGUCAGUGGCUGACCCCUUUGGUUUUUGUGGGUUCAAUGUGAACACACUUUAUCUCAUGUGCAAAAUUAUGAAAUUAACUUCAGGUGAUAAGUUGUACAUAAAACAUAAGUGAAUUUCAUUUUUAAACUUGGGUACAUGUACACAAAUACAGAUAUUCCAAAAUGCAAAAACACUUCUGGUCCCAGGCAUUUCAGAUAAGAGAUACUCAAAUGAUAACUUCUGGAACAUUGAUCUGUGUUUCGUCUGUAUGAAGCAUAGAUUGGUGAAAGAGAUUUUGCUGUCUAAAGCAAAGGAUCAAAUGCCACCUCCUGCACCCUACUUAAGGAAGACAAAUAAUCUGGCAAAUUGAAUUUUAAUGUAGUAUUGUCGAUAUAGUAAUAUUGGUGAUAGACCUCAACAGUGGGCAAAAAACUAUAUUUGAAGGUUAGAGGCGAAGGCAGCUUUCUUACAGCAAUAGUUGUCAACCUGGGGUCCCCAGAAGUUUUUGGCCUUCAACUUCCAGAAAUCUUAACAGCUGGUAAACUGGCUGGGAUUUCUGGGAGUUGUAGACCAAAAACAUCUGGGGACAUCGGGUUGAAAACCACUGGCUUAGAGAAAAGAGACCAAGCACAGCUGCAGCUCCUAAAUCACUGUGGCACAUCUGCUGAGAUUAAUGUCUCACUUUGCCUAUUGGUGAGGCUGAUGUAGAUUUCCUGUAUAUUUGGGGAUUUUAAACUUAUCUUUCCAUCAAAACCAAACACAUUUAUCUUGAACACACACAUGCAUACCUCUUUGAUCUAGAUAAUAUUAUUGCAUUUUAAAGCCAUGAAUAAUAUUUAAGUAACAUUCUCUCAUACAGAAGCCAUUACCUAAUCUCAUUUUCUUCCUCUCCACCUUUGCCUGUUGACUUUCAUCUGUAAAAACAUACGCCUACCUAAUCAUCAUUUACACACCUAAGUCCAAGUAUGUCAGUAUAUCAAAUGUGCGAAUGAAGCAAUGACACAUUUCCAUACUUGGUGAAUGCACUUACUCACAGAGCAUUAUCCCAAGUGCCAUCUGCUAUGACGUUCAAUUAGAUGUUACUCUCAGAGCUUUAAGCUCAGUUUGGUUCAGACAGCUCAUUAUUGUUCUGUGGAGACUUUCCUGCUAAAUUUAACAAGGACACCCAAAAGCUGGAGAAGUUGGUGACAUUUCUUGUCAAUAUUUGGUUCACCAACUUUUAAAAACCAAAACAAAAUAAAAAUUCCUUUCUCAUUUUGAGAACUUUACUGUGCUACAGACAAUAACCAGAAAAUUAAAUAGUGCCUAAUAAUUCUAACACUGUAUAGACAACAAACAAGGAAGGACAUAUGUCAUUAAAUACCAAAAUCAGAAUCACCCAAACCAUCAUGUUUCCAGUCUCUGUGUAUGGUUAUGGAAGAUGGGCAUAGAAUAAAACUGAAAAUAAGAAAGAAAUCAAUUGAUUGAAAUUGGACUACUAAAAAGACACAUGACUGGGGCCAUUUCUACCUUACCUGAGUAACCUGGGAUUAACCCUAGAGUCCUUUGGAUGUCAACAUGGCCAACUGGUGAAGGUUACAUUGGGGUCACUGCCAUCACUGCUGUAUCAUUGGUCACAAGCAACUUCUUGUCAGAGGCUUGUUAGCAGUGUAGCUCCUGGUGAUGUCAUACCAGGAUGGCCAGCCAUAUGACUCAACAUUGCAACAUUGGCAGCAAUGCAGUGGUGGAUCCAUUGAAGGUGUAGACAAUGGAUUGGGCCAGAUCCAGCCCAGUCCUGCUGUCCAGCCUCUGAAACUCUGGGAUCACUCUGGAGCUACCUGGAAAUCCCAUAGCCUCUUGACAAACAUCAACAGUUGGAUGCAGCCCAUCUGUUGCAAAUCUAACCAUGUAUCAUGUGGAAUCCCUGCAGCAGCUGAACAGCAUGCGGUUUUGGCAUUCUCAUAAGACCUUCCCGCCACUUUGCAAUGUCGGGGUCACAGUAGAAGGACAUUAGCACACAAAGAAGAGUGGUAGAAGAACAGGGAUAUUACAUUAAAUGAUGGCUUUCCCCCAUCAGUUAAAGGAGACCUUGCAAUCAUGGUCCAAGCCCAAUGGGAGAGACGCAAGGCUGUGUGUUUCAGGUCUCUAAAAUAGAUGCAACUGCUCCUGGUCAAUAGCUGACAUAAGCCAGAGGGAAAAACAUUUCCCAGUAAACUAUUUAAAAAUUUCCCAUGGAUGUUUUCAUAAGGAUAACUUGAACUUCUAUAUAUGAAUCCCUCUUGAAGAAUCUUCUCCAUAGGUGAUUUGACAGCAUCUCCAUCUAAAGACAACACCAUUACUGUGCUUUCAACCAAACCUGGAUCCUGAACUAUAAAGAACUGGAGUUAUCUGCUUACAGUUUUUCCUGCUUUUUUUAAUUCCCCACACAAAUUUAUUAUUUCUCCAAUAGGCCUUAAUUCCUCCCAAUCCAGGGUCUUGCAUGACUCUUUUCCCCACUUUUUUUUUUCCGUGUCAGGAGCAACCUGAGUUGCUUCUGGAGUGAGAGAAUUGGCCGUCUGCAAGGACGUUGCCCAGGGGACGCCCGGAUGUUUUGAUGUUUUUACCAUCCUUGUGGGAGGCUUCUCUCAUGUCCCCGCAUGGAACUGGAGCUGAUAGAGGGAGCUCAUCCGCACUCUCCCCAGGUGGGAUUUGAACCUGGCAGCCUUCAGGUCAGCAACCCAACCUUCAAGUCACUUAGUCCACUACGCCAUCUGGGGGCUUUUCCCCACUAGGAGGGGCCACCUCCAGCACAACUAAUAAUAUGUCCUCAAACAAAAUAACUUUGGGGACUACAGCUUCCAGAACCCACACUGACUUUGUGCUAUUCUCCCAUCAGGUAAUGCCCACAGUCUGAAUGACAAAAGUGAGAAAGGAUGUUGAGAUAUUUGGAGUGCCCACCUCGCACUGAAACUGCAGAAUUACAGUGGGCCCUUGGCAUCUGCUGAGGUUUAAUUCCAGGACCCGCAUGGAUAGAAAAAUCCUCAAGUCCCAUGAUAUGUAAUUGUGUAGUAACAUGGUGUCCCUUAUAUCAAAUGGCAAAAUCAAUGUUUACUUUUUUGGAUUUUGUUCCCUUAGUAUUUUCAAGCUGUGGGUGGUUGCAUCUAUCGAUGUGGAGGAAACCUGCACAAUGCUCUUAUUCCAAUUUACCUGCAAUGGCUCGGUCUUAUGGAAUGAUGGGGCUUGUAGUUUUGGUGAAGCUCUGACACUCUCUGCCGGGAACAUCUAAAUCAGUGGUUCUCAACCUUCCUAAUGUUACGACCCCUUAAUGCAGUUCCUCGUGUUGUGGUGACCCCCAACUAUAAAAUUAUUUUCGUUGCUA
Long non-coding RNA from Anolis carolinensis (green anole), 3873 nucleotides. RefSeq lists it as uncharacterized. The transcript is spliced from 4 exons. The record is from RefSeq and is a predicted model, not a curated record. NCBI's taxonomy places the organism in Eukaryota, Metazoa, Chordata, Lepidosauria, Squamata, Anolidae.